Molecule: transfer RNA, 104 nt
Filed under: Stachybotrys chlorohalonatus IBT 40285
Lineage: Eukaryota; Fungi; Ascomycota; Sordariomycetes; Hypocreales; Stachybotryaceae
Description: Stachybotrys chlorohalonata IBT 40285 tRNA
Rfam family: tRNA
About the family: Transfer RNA (tRNA) molecules are approximately 80 nucleotides in length. Their secondary structure includes four short double-helical elements and three loops (D, anti-codon, and T loops).
Source: Rfam by way of RNAcentral
GGCAAGAUGGCCGAGCGGUCUAAGGCGCUGUGUUCAGGUUACAACCGCGAGGUUACCGAAAAUCGCAGUCCGAAAGGGCGUGGGUUCGAAUCCCACUCUUGUCA